ACAGGUUGUACCGCGAGCGCUGAAACUCCAAGGGCAACCAGAUGAGAAUAGCUCUGGAUUUCGGUUCACCUGGGAACCUGCGGAACGGAGAGUGGACUCAAGGGAAAUGAACUGCCUUGGGUUGGAGGGAAGAGGCUUUGAGCUAAGGUGGAAUAGGAGAGACUGGAGACAACAGUCCUCUCUACACUUCCCCUUUGGAGGGAUAAGGGUUCUCUCGUCUCUGGGAAGAAUUACAAUUCAAGACCCAUAGCUCGGCCACGCCCCGUGACUUCCGUAAUUCUUCCCCAAAACAGAUAAAGAUAUAUCUAUUUCUGUCUCUGUAUCUAUCUCCAGACUCCUGGAGCAGCGUCUCUCUUCCCAUCUUCCUACAAAUCCACCAAAAGAAACCAUUAACAGGGACGGAAGGAGAGAGAAAAGGAUCCCAGGAGAGCUGUUCCUGCUUGGUGAAGCUCAGAGCUGGCAGCAGCAGCAGGAGCUCUUGGGGGGCAACUCCCUGAAGAAUAAGAGCACAGCAGAAACACUCGUGGAAAGGCACACAAGCCAGCCUCCUUUAAUGUGGUAUUUUCUUCCAUCCGCUUUCCAUACAUUUACUAGUUUUUAUAAGUUUCUUGCAAAAUUACCUUCAGAUGUCACAUGUGGCAGCCAUGGGGGUGUAUUGCUGGGAUCUUCCUUAAAGAAGGAAUUUGCUUUUCAGCUUCGAGGAGUGCAGUUAACUAGGGGCCAGGCCCGUGGUUGAGUGGUUACGUGCUCCGCUUUGGCA
Molecule: long non-coding RNA, 760 nt
Filed under: Equus caballus (horse)
Lineage: Eukaryota; Metazoa; Chordata; Mammalia; Perissodactyla; Equidae
Description: lncRNA (ENSECAG00000028074.3)
Source: RNAcentral